CUACGCACUCCUACGGGAGGCAGCAGUGGGGAAUAUUGCACAAUGGGCGCAAGCCUGAUGCAGCCAUGCCGCGUGUAUGAAGAAGGCCUUCGGGUUGUAAAGUACUUUCAGCAGUGAGGAAGGUGGAUAUGUUAAUAGCAUAUUCAUUUGACGUUAGCUGCAGAAGAAGCACCGGCUAACUCCGUGCCAGCAGCCGCGGUAAUACGGAGGGUGCGAGCGUUAAUCGGAAUUACUGGGCGUAAAGCGCAUGCAGGUGGUUUGUUAAGUCAGAUGUGAAAGCCCGGGGCUCAACCUCGGAAUUGCAUUUGAAACUGGCAAACUAGAGUACUGUAGAGGGGGUAGAAUUUCAGGUGUAGCGGUGAAAUGCGUAGAGAUCUGAAGGAAUACCGGUGGCGAAGGCGGCCCCCCUGGACAGAUACUGACACUCAGAUGCGAAAGCGUGGGGAGCAAACAGGAUUAGAUACCCUGGUAG
Molecule: ribosomal RNA, 472 nt
Filed under: uncultured bacterium
Lineage: Bacteria
Description: bacterial SSU rRNA
Rfam family: Bacterial small subunit ribosomal RNA
Source: RNAcentral